RNAcentral lists this transfer RNA (62 nucleotides) under Bathynomus sp. YS-2016. Its description in RNAcentral is "tRNA-Met". The record is from RNAcentral. Lineage: Eukaryota; Metazoa; Arthropoda; Malacostraca; Isopoda; Cirolanidae.
AAAAAGGUAAGCUAAGUUAAGCUAGCAGGUUCAUACCCUGAAGAUGAGUAAUUCCCUUUUUA